This 364-nucleotide ribosomal RNA is filed under the name Chrysoreinhardia sp. CCMP2950. RNAcentral describes it as "partial Bacterial large subunit ribosomal RNA". It matches the Rfam family "Bacterial large subunit ribosomal RNA", at positions 981 to 1349 of the family's 2925-position model. The record is from RNAcentral. Lineage: Eukaryota; Pelagophyceae; Sarcinochrysidales; Chrysocystaceae.
UAGUAAGACAGUGGGGGAUAAGCUCCAUUGUCAAGAGGGAAACAGCCCAGAUCAUUAGCUAAGGCCCCCAAAAACUGCUAAGUGCGAAAGGCGGUGGAAGUGCACAAACAACCAGGAGGUUUGCUUAGAAGCAGCAAUCCUUUAAAGAGUGCGUAAUAGCUCACUGGUCGAGUAAGUCCGCACCGAAAAUGUACGGGACUAAGUGGUUUGCCGAAGCUAUGGAAUAGUUAAAGUAUUAUUGGUAGGGGAGCGUUCUGUUGUAGGUUGAAGCGGUAGUGAAAACGGUCGUGGACAAAGCAGAAGUGAGAAUGUUGGCUUGAGUAGCGAAAACAUUGGUGCGAAUCCAAUGCCCUGAAAACCUAAG